RNAcentral lists this long non-coding RNA (337 nucleotides) under Equus caballus (horse). Its description in RNAcentral is "lncRNA (ENSECAG00000058990.1)". Lineage: Eukaryota; Metazoa; Chordata; Mammalia; Perissodactyla; Equidae. The record is from RNAcentral.
GGAAGGGCUCACUGAGGAGAUGGCAUUUAGACUGAGACUCAGAUCUGAUUGACAAGAAAACACCCAUGAUGAGACAAGAUGGCUUGGGGAAGGAGGCAGGAUUCCAGGCCCAGAGAACAGCCACUGCCAAGAUCUGGAGACAGGAAAUGUCUUGGUGUGUCCCGGGAUCAAGAGGAAGGCCAGUGUGGCAGGAGCAGAGGGAAUAACAAGGAGAGUGACAGAAGACAAGACGUGCAGACUUUUACACCAAAGAUCUUCUUCCCAAGAUCUUCCAGAUUCCCCAUGCUACCCCAUGCGCCCACACCCACGCACACACAUGCACAUGCUCACAUACAAC